GAGAAGGAGGAGGAGGAGGAGGAGGAGCAGGAGCAGGAACAGGAGCAGGAAAGAGAAGCGAAGAAGAAGAAAGUUACUAGAGUUAAUGAUAUUCCUUACGGAAUCUAUUCUAAAGAAAAGGAAAGACAGGACCGAAAAGACCUUCCCCCCUCAAAGUUCGGUAUCAGAGCCAAGUUGGUAGUCCAUAGUCAUCUAUUUUGAGAGGAAGGUUUCCAACCGUACGCCGGUAGGCCGGUAGGAACAGGGCUUAGCCAGAAUGGCUGGCUAAGAGGCGUCUGGCGGUGCUAGGCGCAGGAAGGUAUGUAAUGUUCAAACCUUAACCUCAAGAUACCUCUGGUGGGGUCCAAUCCCUGAGGGUUAAACCUCUUUUGGGGCUCCUCACACAGUAAUCUUUGGAGCCUAUUCCAUGGGCAUACGAAGGUUAGUUGGAAUAGUUUAUGAUUCUUUGAUUUAAAGCAUGAAUUGGUAGUUUGUUUCUCUUAUGUUGAAUCAUAUAUCCUUCAAACUGAAGUCACAAGGAUGGCUAUUUGGUACCUGUCUUUGGUAUUCACUGUACCUGGAUGAGUUAAGACCGAGAGUGGGAGGCUGUGUGCCCGUUGUUUAGCCCGUUGAUGCCAAGAGGGCGAGUUAGGGCGUUGUGUAGGGCAAUUGUGCUAAGUACCCAUAGUGAUUCUCCUCUGGUAGGGUGCAGUAAUCCGGAUUGAUGGGAGAAAGAGACCAUAAUAUAGUUAUUCAUGUGAUUGAAGGAUGAUUGAUUUAUUUUUCAACAUAGAUUAAGUAAAUGUCAUAUCAUUCAUGUGGUAGUGUUUUUUAGUCUUUGAAUCAUUAACUAUUGUUCUUAUAGACAGAGGGUUGAGGUUUGGAACGUCAUAACUUCACUGCACAAAGCACUGACCAGCAAGCCCAAAAGCAUGGAAAAUAGUUCCAUAAGCCCAAGUUCCAAUAAUGAACAAUUUUUAAAAGAAUUUAAUUUUCUUUUUAAUCAUUUAAAUCAAAUAGAGCGUCAUGUAUAUCUUCAAUCAGGAAGCAUACUAAGAAAUGUCCUAAAUCAGGAAUUUCUAUCAGAAGAUAAUAAGAUCUUCAGAAAAUGGUAUUUUAAGGAGUUUAAUCCAACUGAGUUAGAAUACUAUAAAGCUCAGUACUAUAAGGAUUUAGAGUCCAGUGGAACCAUAGAUUUCUUUGUUCUAUGGUUUAAAAGGUUCUAUGCAGAACAACAGAAAGCAACAUUAAUGCUAAAUUCUCUUUUAAUAGAAGAGAAAGUCUUAGGACAUCCUAGGACUAACCCUGAUGAAAUAUCUAGGGUAGAGAACAUAGAUCUUCCAGACUUAAUAAGUUUCGAGGAAGAAGAAAACCUAGAAAAUGAGUCUAGGACAGAAGAAAUAAGUCUUCCGGAUCUAAUAGAGUUCACUGACAACCCUAUGUCAGAUAGUGAUCUUUUUCAAAUUACUGAAAAAGAAUCAGAUAAUGAAUCUGAAACUGAAUUAGAUCAAGAAAUUUUUGAACCUAAGACUGAGUCAGAACAAGAAAACCUUGUAUCUAGAACUAAGUUAAUAAGUCUUAGUAACUCAGGAAAUACUAAGGCUGAAUAUAAGUCUUAUCCAAAAAAGGUCAAGAAUAAACUUGAACUUAGACAAACAGAAGAAAAUGUUCUUCUAGAAGUAAUCUUGAAUCCUAAGUUGGGUUCAGAAAGUACAGAUAGACAAUACUGUCUAUACAUCCACUAUUGGAAAUCAAUGAUAAAAAAAAACAGCUAAUAAAACUGUUAAAGGAUUCUUCUUCCAAGGAAGAAGAAAGAAGAAGGAAAGAUGUAGAUAAGAGCUCUACAUCAGAUGUAUCAAAUAAAGAUACAUCAGAAGAAGAAAUGAAUAACGUUUCUUCUAAAUCUUUUCAAAUUAAUACUCUGCCUAAUAGUCAAGAAACCCCAGUUUCAACAAAUGAAUUGAAACAUAAAAUUAACCAAUUAAAAACAGAAAUAACUCUGUUAAGGUCACAAAAUGAAGAUCAAUUAGUAGAAAAUAAUCUACUAAGAAAUCCUUGUAUCUUAAAUCAACUAAGAUAUCAAAGGUGGAACACAAUAAUUAACAUUGUGAUAAAAGACAAUUUAGUCUUAAAAAAUAUAACAGCACUAAUAGACAGUGGUGCAGAUCUGAAUUGUAUUCAGGAGGGAAUAAUCCCUACAACAUAUUUUGAGAAAACAGUGCAGAAUUUAGCUGCAGCUGAUGGAAACAAACUAGAUAUCAAAUAUAAGGUAUCUCAAGCAUAUGUCUGUAACAUAGAAGUUUGUAUAAAAAAUUCAUUCAUCUUGGUUAAAAAUUUAACCCAGUCAGUCAUAUUAGGAAUACCUUUCCUAAAUGAAAUAAUGCCAAUAAUCAGGAUAGAUGACCAUGGUAUCUAUUCUAAAAAACAAGAAAAAGAAAUAAUAUUUUCUUUCAUUACAAAACCUCACUUAAAGGUUAUUAAUAAGACUAGGAAUCUCUUAGUCAAUAAAGAAAAACAAUUAGCUUUCCUUAAACAAGAAGCUAAUAUGCUUAGCUUAGAAAGAAAAUUGCAAGAUCCUUAUAUAAUCCAAAAAAUUAAGGAUAUAGAGGUACAGCUUACAGAAUAAAUCUGUAGCGAACUACCCAAUGCAUUUUGGUCUAGAAAGAAACAUAUAGUUUCGUUACCGUAUGAAAAUUUUUUUAAUGAAAAGAACAUACCCACUAAGGCUAGACCAACACAGAUGAAUAGAAAAUAUCUAGAUCUGUGUAAAAAAAAUGAUACACUCCUAAAUAAAGGACUAAUUAGGAAAUCCUAAUCUCCAUCGAGUUGCACAGCUUUCUACGUUAAUAAAAACGCAGAAAAAGAAAGAGGAAUACCAAGAUUGGUAAUCAAUUAUAAAUCCUUAAAUAAGGUGUUAAAAUGGAUAAGAUAUCCAUUACCCAACAAAAAAGACCUCCUUGAUAGGCUAAGUGAGGCAUUAAUCUUUUCUAAACUUGAUUUGAAAUCAGGAUCCUGGCAGAUCCAAAUUGAGGAAUUUGACAGAUACAAAACAGCAUUCACAGUACCAUUUGGGCAAUAUGAAUGGAACGUGAUGCCAUUUGGUUUAAAAAAUGCAUCCUCUGAAUUUCAGAGUAUCAUGAAUGACAUCUUCAAUCCAUUUUCUGAUUUCAUCAUUACUUAUAUUGAUGAUGUUUUGGUGUUUUCUAAAUCAAUAGAACAACACAUCAAAAAUUUAAAGACUUUCCAAAUGAUAACCAUAAAGAAUGGUUUAGCAAUUAUGUAUGACAGGUUAAAAAAGAAACCUGCACCUUGGAGUCAAAAAUAUACUGACAAGGUAUGAAUAAUUAAGUCCAAGAUAAGGAAUUUGCCUUGCCUAUCUUUACCAAAUCCUAAUUGGUAUAAGAUUGUCGAAACCAAUGCAUCAGAUAUUGGUUUUGAAGGAAUCUUAAAGCAAUUGGAUCCAAGCAGUGGUAAAGAAAUUUUGGUAAAAUUUGUCUCUGAAAAGUGGAAUGCCAAUCAGAGCAAAUAUUCAACAAUUAAAAAAGAAAUGUUUGCAAUUGUUAAAAGCAUUUCAAAAUUUCAAAGUGAUCUGUUAAACCAGUCAUUCUUGCUGCGUGUUGACUGCACUGCAGUCAAACAGAUCAUAGAAAAAUAUGUGAAAAAUUUAGUAUCCAAGCAAAUAUUUGCCGGAUGGCAAGCACAAUUAUGUGCUUUCGAUUUUCAAAUUGAAUUUCUCAAAUCCGAAGAUAAUUCUCUUCCUGACUUCUUGGCUCGAGAGUUUUUGCAGGAAUAAUUCCAAGACAAGGAUCUUAUGAUCAAGGUAGGAAAUCUUCUAUCCGAUAUAUCAGGAAACGUAGUGCUAAUGCACUUCCCGAAACUACAGGAAAUACAUGGCCUCAUUAUAUCAGGGGACGCAGUGCUAAUGUACUUUCCGAAAGUACAGGGAAUGUCCUAACUAAUUAUAGCAGGGGACACAGUGCAAAUGCACUUCCCAGGGUUCCACAAAUGGUGGAUUUGGCAACUUAUCUCGGCAAAGGGAAAGAGAAAGUUGACCAAGAACAACAAAUUAAUGUUGUGCAAGGAAUUUCUUUGCAAUCAACUUCAUCGUUGAGCCCAACGAUGAAGUACUACAGGAGAAUCUUCUGGACAGUACUUACUCGGAGAAGAAAUCCGAGGAGAUUAUUAUGUACCUAGAUCAUAGUGAAGUUAAUAAUCUGAAUGAUCCAUGGUUCAUACGUCAAAAAUACUUUGACGAAUGGGGUUAUCCUUCUUUGAAAGAAAAAAUAGAGUAGUUAUGGAGGUGCUCCUGCUCCGUACUAAUUUUGUGGAAAUUAAUCAUAAUUUCCAAAAUGGUUCUAUCAAGAGUGGUAUAAUCAACUUCAGCAAAUGCAUAAUCCACAAGAUGAUCAGACCAAAUGAAUGGGGACUUGACCCAAAUCAGGCCAAACAGAUCACAGUAAACGGACAGAUGGUUCUAGUCAAUUAUUGGGACUACGUCCAAGCCUUCACCAGUGUUUUCUAUUAUGAGAACCCCAAGAGGAGGCAUUCGUAGUUUCUGCAGGUAAAUCCUGAAGUAUUGCACAAAUCCUUAUCAGGAUGGUUUCACAAAUGGUGGACAUAUUUUGGGUCAGAAUUAAAUAUAUUGCCCAAAUAAAUUCUCAAUUAUUUUGAAGAAUGGGUGGAUCAUCAUCCCAUCAUUAACAAGUUGACAGAUAAUUUCAUCUCUUCUGAGCUCUGUCCUAUGAUGUUCGUAAUAGAUGACAAGAUCCCUUGGAUAUGGAAAUGGGUCAUAUCAACAGAGGUAGAAGAGGUAAAUAUUCCUGUUCUUAAAAGAAAAUUUCUUUACAAGUGGUGGCUGGGAAUGCCCAGAGAGAAAUUUGAUGAUAUUAUCACCACUAUAAAAUCAAAUUUGAUUUCAUUUAAAAAUGAUCAUGCUGAAUCACAGCAGACUGAAGAAAGCACUGACAGUUAUUUUGCGAGUCUUAAGAACAAAUUCUCCAGAAAGUAUCCCCAAUGUACUUCCGAAGAAAUUAUAUCCAAAUGUAUGGACCAUAUGAAGCAACAAUUAUGCUCUAUGUUCAAAGCAGAGCCAAAGAAGACAGUCUCCAUGAAGAGCACUGCAUCAAGAAGUACAUCAUGCUCCACACCUGAGGACAAUAAUAAAUACAGGUGUCUUGUAGGAGAAUUUCAAGAUCCUUAUACUGAGGAUACACUAUCUUCUGAGGAAAAAGAACAGUCCAUUCUCAUGCACAAAACUCUUGCAGCUGAAGCCACAGAAGCUAUGUGGCAAAAAGUCUUAAUUACAAGACCUAGAAAGGGAGCAAUUAAGUCCCAACAAAUCAGGUUCAGCCCUGUUAAGCUUCAUCAAAGCAAAGGCAAGGAACCAACUCACCAUUUUGACUAGACAGAAUAAUGGCAGAAGCACGAGCAAAUAGUUUCGUAUCUCCAAUGCUGAAUCACCAGCAAUUAUCUUGAAGGAAUCUCCUUUCGGUGGAAAAUAUCAGCCUUGUGUUUACAUCAGCAUAGCUUUCGGCGGAAAAUCCAUUCCAGCCAGCACAAGGAAUCUGCUUUCGGUGGAAAAGCCUGACCAUUUCAGCUUUGUCAGUGCCAGCACAUCAUGCCAGCACAACAUGAAGGACGAAGAUAUGACUUCUCCAUCCAACAAAAAGAAUCCACUUUCUGACGAAGCCCUGACAAAAGGCUUUAAGUCAUACAUACUUUUAUUCAGGCGGAAGAAAUCACUCCCGACCAAGAAAAGAUGCUCUCUUCACAUGGAAGGAACCACUUUCGGCAAAAGAUGCCACCGACCAAGGGUCACAUUAGUUCCCUCUGACGGAAGGAAUCUCCACCAACCAGAGGAAAAGAUGCUUUCUUCAUAGCGAAGAAAUUACUUUCGGCAGAAGAAAGGACGAAAGAAUCAACAUUCGGCAAAAAAAGGACGCUUUUCGAAAAACACUUUUGUAAAAGCAAAGAUGCUUUGCUUCUUUUCAGCUUUGAGUCUUUUUGGUCCUGUCUUUCCUUUUCUUUUGUCAAGUCAUUUGUUUCUCUAUCGACCAUGAGCGGCAGCCUGACUUUCGGACUCCAAUUCGAAUUGGAUUCCAACUUUGUAACUUGGUCUAUUUAAGGCUAUGCACUCUCAGUUGUGAGGCAGAACCUUUCAGACCGUUGGAGUAAUAGAAUUAUCUUUUCUCCACAUCUCUGAGUUUGCGUUCUUGUUCUCCUCACUCUUCUGCACCCCCUCUCCCCUCUCAAAGGAGGAGAAGAAGAAGAAGGAGAAGGAGAAGGAGAAGGAGAGGAAGAAGGAGAAUAAGAAGGGAAGGAGAAGGAUGAUAGAAAUAUUACCCAACUUUAGUCUCACUUUUGAAUCUAAAAUCUUAUACAGGUGCUUCGGUUUGUUCUGGAGAGCUUCCCUAGCCUUGGCAGUGCGUCGGGUUAUCGAUCCUUCUUUUUCGGCGUGGGUGAAAAUAGAAGCGUAGAUCCCUUCCUUCUUCAACGCUAGACGAGCUUGUGCAGGGAGUUCAGGGGAAACUGAAGAAGAAACAUUGAAGAAGAAGAAGGAGAAGAAGAAGAAGAUAAUGAUGAAGAAGAACAAGAAGGAGAAGGAGAAGAAGAAGCAAAAGAAGAAGAAGAAGAAGGAGGAGGAGGAGGAGCAGGAGCAGGAAGGAGAAGCGAAGAAGAAGAAGAAGAAUCGGCCGUCGACUGGUACAAGUCGGUUCUUCUUCUUCUUCUUCAAAGAUUCUUCUCCAAACAUUCUUUUUUAAAGAUUUUAAGUAUAAUUUGAUAAAGAUUGCCGAAUCGGGCGGCCCGGUUCGGGCAGCGCCAAACCGAUCCUGUUCGCCUGUUACAUUUGAAUCCGACCCCGUACCGGCCGGAAACCAUAUAGAACUGGCCGAAACCAUGACUGAAACCGGCCGGUAAGUGCCCAAACCGGCCAGAAUUGGUCGAUUCGGUAUAGACUUGGUGGGAACCGGCCAGUUCGCACCAAGUCAACCCGGUUCCAAACAUUCUGGCACUGUAGCAUUGUAACUUUUUAAAAGUAUCAAGUCACCUGUUGGGAAAGCCGAAAGGCGCUGACCGGCACGGGUCUCGAUACCGGUUCAAUGGACCUUGAAAAGAAUCAAUAGAAAAAUAAGGAUAGUGGAGAGGGG
Molecule: non-coding RNA, 7127 nt
Organism: Phoenix dactylifera (date palm)
Lineage: Eukaryota; Viridiplantae; Streptophyta; Magnoliopsida; Arecales; Arecaceae
Source: RefSeq, a predicted model, not a curated record